GAUGAACGCUGGCGGCGUGCCUAAUACAUGCAAGUCGAGCGAACGGACGAGAAGCUUGCUUCUCUGAUGUUAGCGGCGGACGGGUGAGUAACACGUGGAUAACCUACCUAUAAGACUGGGAUAACUUCGGGAAACCGGAGCUAAUACCGGAUAAUAUUUUGAACCGCAUGGUUCAAAAGUGAAGGACGGUCUUGCUGUCACUUAUAGAUGGAUCCGCGCUGCAUUAGCUAGUUGGUAAGGUAACGGCUUACCAAGGCAACGAUGCAUAGCCGACCUGAGAGGGUGAUCGGCCACACUGGAACUGAGACACGGUCCAGACUCCUACGGGAGGCAGCAGUAGGGAAUCUUCCGCAAUGGGCGAAAGCCUGACGGAGCAACGCCGCGUGAGUGAUGAAGGUCUUCGGAUCGUAAAACUCUGUUAUUAGGGAAGAACAUAUGUGUAAGUAACUGUGCACAUCUUGACGGUACCUAAUCAGAAAGCCACGGCUAACUACGUGCCAGCAGCCGCGGUAAUACGUAGGUGGCAAGCGUUAUCCGGAAUUAUUGGGCGUAAAGCGCGCGUAGGCGGUUUUUUAAGUCUGAUGUGAAAGCCCACGGCCCAACCGUGGAGGGUCAUUGGAAACUGGAAAACUUGAGUGCAGAAGAGGAAAGUGGAAUUCCAUGUGUAGCGGCGAAAUGCGCAGAGAUAUGGAGGAACACCAGUGGCGAAGGCGACUUUCUGGUCUGUAACUGACGCUGAUGUGCGAAAGCGUGGGGAUCAAACAGGAUUAGAUACCCUGGUAGUCCACGCCGUAAACGAUGAGUGCUAAGUGUUAGGGGGUUUCCGCCCCUUAGUGCUGCAGCUAACGCAUUAAGCACUCCGCCUGGGGAGUACGACCGCAAGGUUGAAACUCAAAGGAAUUGACGGGGACCCGUACAAGCGGUGGAGCAUGUGGUUUAAUUCGAAGCAACGCGAAGAACCUUACCAAAUCUUGACAUCCUUUGACAACUCUAGAGAUAGAGCCUUCCCCUUCGGGGGACAAAGUGACAGGUGGUGCAUGGUUGUCGUCAGCUCGUGUCGUGAGAUGUUGGGUUAAGUCCCGCAACGAGCGCAACCCUUAAGCUUAGUUGCCAUCAUUAAGUUGGGCACUCUAAGUUGACUGCCGGUGACAAACCGGAGGAAGGUGGGGGUGACGUCAAAUCAUCAUGCCCCUUAUGAUUUGGGCUACACACGUGCUACAAUGGACAAUACAAAGGGCAGCGAAACCGCGAGGUCAAGCAAAUCCCAUAAAGUUGUUCUCAGUUCGGAUUGUAGUCUGCAACUCGACUACAUGAAGCUGGAAUCGCUAGUAAUCGUAGAUCAGCAUGCUACGGUGAAUACGUUCCCGGGUCU
RNAcentral lists this ribosomal RNA (1372 nucleotides) under uncultured bacterium. RNAcentral describes it as "bacterial SSU rRNA". It matches the Rfam family "Bacterial small subunit ribosomal RNA", at positions 28 to 1381 of the family's 1533-position model. The record is from RNAcentral.